GCGUAACGUCCUUUCUGCUGGCGACGGUCAGUGAAGGUGUAACAUCUGUGUGUCUCUUAUUAGUCGAAAUUUUUGUAGUUUGAAUGCUCUUGUUUAUUUUUUUAGUACUUCGAAACUAAUUUAGUUUCUUAUGUAUAUCGGUUCAGCCUACGUGUGUUGUAAAUUGAAGCAUUUAGCCUGCCUCCGGUUUUUUUUUUUACUGUAAAAUAUAAAUAGUCAAAAGAGGUGUUUUCCCAAUCAUAUCGAUGUGACGGACCCAUUGGAUUGUACUCCGAACCCGCGUUUAUGGACAUGAGGGACCCGCGUGUAUGAAUAUGAGGUACCUUAGCGACUGAAAGCGGUUGAAGUGUUGAAUAAGGCAUUUGCUUCAUGUGACCAAACUUCCUUCAAAGGAUUUGAAUGAAUUCCACAUCUUGGAAUUUUUUUUUAAAACCAUUUUUACAAUUAUUUUGUAGAAAAGCUAGUAUGUAUAUAAUUGUAAGCUGUAGUAUGUCUGCGUGCUUGCUAUCCUUGGAACUCUGAAAAAUGCCAGCAGUGUAUAUGCUGUCAGUGAUUUAGUGAUUUGAAACCACUACAAUAAAAACCUAUUUUAAAAUA
Carassius auratus (goldfish) is the source of this 597-nucleotide long non-coding RNA. RefSeq lists it as uncharacterized. The transcript has 5 exons. Lineage: Eukaryota; Metazoa; Chordata; Actinopteri; Cypriniformes; Cyprinidae. The record is from RefSeq and is a predicted model, not a curated record.